Molecule: long non-coding RNA, 7779 nt
Organism: Prinia subflava (tawny-flanked prinia)
Lineage: Eukaryota; Metazoa; Chordata; Aves; Passeriformes; Cisticolidae
Exons: 5
Source: RefSeq, a predicted model, not a curated record
AAUCUUCCAAAUGCUCCUCCUACCCCCACCCCAGAAGAGAAGAAAGCAAAGAGAACGAGAAAGUAAAUCUAAAACACAAUUACGAAAUAAGAUCUAGUUUGGCAAAGCUGGGGUGAGGAGGAGUUGAAAAAUGAGAGCUGCCUUGCUGCAAACGCCAUCUUGUUGCAGCUCCUGGGCCCAGGCACAGAGAGAUCCAUUCAUUCACAGCAGAAAGAAAAUCAAACAGACACCCCGGCUAAUCUGCAGCCACCAAAACAACCACACUAUUAUCACCCCUUCUCCUUCUCCUCUAGCACACAAAGGGGAGAAAUAAAACUCUGAUAAAAUAUUUAGGGACGGAUUUAGGUAUUAACAUAUCGUCUUCAUUUCCUCACGCGUAUUUCACAUACAUAUCGACAGCGUUUUGCCUUGAUUCACAUCCUCGUGUCCAGAUCAGCUUAAAAUAUGGGAUAAAUCUCUCACAUUUAGGAGCAGAUAUCCUACAGCAGCAAAAUGUUUAAUUUUUCAGUCUUAAAUACCUCUUCAAGUUGAGCCAACUAUUCUUAAAAGCUGUUUCAAUAAUCACUUAAGCCUUACAUUUACAGUCCUUUCCUCCUAUUUCCUCCUGUGGAGACAAUGCAUAAUAACGUGGCAGUCGGCACAUCCUAGAAAGGAUGCCUGGUUUAAAACGAGUCCCAGCCAUGACUUUGUUAGAGAAUAAUGAAAUAUCACAUUCGUUAAAAUUUCAGUUCAUCUACAGGAAUGAUAAACUGACAUCUUACAACAACCUCUACAUCAUUCUGAUUUUUUUCUGGACAAGAUUUUUUUGUUAAUAAAACGCUUCAUCUCUUUCAUAUUUACAUGCAAGGCUUUACACAUCUUCAUUCCCUACAAAGCUGUAGGAUUAAAAAUCCUACACGUUCGAUAUCCUUUGGAUGGAUUAAAAAAAAAAAAUAACGCUGAAAUCCUUCCGAUAAAAAAAAAGCUGGGAAUUGAAGGAAUAUUUCAAACAACAUUUCCAAGGAGAAAACUCCAUCUUUCCAUUGUAGCAAACACCCUCCAUGAUCUUCGUUAUCGCCUGCUACGGGCACACAAAAAUAUGCAGCACCGUAAUACAUGGGGGAACAAAUAUGCGGUCUGAAUCCAUCCUCGGUUCCGGUUCUAACGAGAACAAAACCUUCCCUACCCCUCCCUCGCCCAGCACACCCAGCAUGAGCCCCAUCUGCGAGCCCGCGGCUGGCUGGGGGUGCUGGAAGCAGCCUUACCCUGUUUGUCUCACCCCCGGCUCCUCUUAAUCAGUUUUCCACCAUUACAGCAGCCACACCAUUGCCUUUUUUUUUUUUUUUUUUUCCUUCAAUCUCUCUGCAAAUAUUCCCUCUGCCGGCUGGAUCGCUGGGGAACCUCGCCUUUUGUGGCUUAAGACAAGACCCCCAAAAGCGUCUAGCAGGGACCACUACAGCGUAAUUAUAAUUAAAAAUGGAACCCCGCAAGAUCCGAGGUCUCCUCCCUUUUCGCCUGGAAGCCUUCGAGAGGGAAUCAGUCCCACCCCCACCUUUUUCCCCUCCUCCUCCAGCUACAAACACACUUCUUUUUUAGGGGAAGCUGGAGCCCCGAGGAGACUGGACCUCACAUAAACCAGGCAGGAGAGAUGUUACCAAAAUGGAAUAAUUUCCCACCAGAACUCAUAUACUGAAACCUAAUUAAUACUGAAAAGUCUGUGCUCUGCCGUGUCUUCAGAUCCAUGGAAUUUGGCUCACCUUGCUGUGUUAGAUUCCCAUGGAGCUUCCACCCCGUUCCUCCACCCGUGACAGGGCAGUGUGGGAAGCUGGGCACAGCUCAUCGAUUUCUGGUGAAACAGUUCGUGAGGAGCGGAGGAGAGAGGGCAGAUCCAUCUCGCUCUGGUUUCACCUUGGCUCUCCCCGUGGGGCCACGGCGAGGUGGCCAUGCUGAGGUGGCCUCUGUCACACGCUCCUGGUGCUCCCUGGCUGGGAGAGGUGAUGCAGUGGCAGUGCCAGCCCUGCCCAGGUGGCACCGCCGCCAGCCAGGGGACAGUACACAGACAGGCAUCCACAGGGGACUUCACGCUCUGCUUUCUGCAGCUCUCUAUCCCACAGGCAGGAGAAAUCCAUUAAACAGCACACUGGAAUUCAGGGGAAUUUCCUGCAUGGUUUAGACAAGCUGGAGAAAUGAUGGAGUUAAAUAUUUGGAUGAUUAAGGCAUCGAAGCAUCUGACGUAUGAGGGAAGGAUGAGCAAGCUGGGAGUCUUUGGCCUCAGGAUGAGGUGAUACAGGAGGGAUCUAUAAAUGUGAAUAAAUACCUGGGGGGGAAGUAUAAAGAAGACAGGCAGACUUCUCUCACUGGGCACCAGCUUGCACAGUAAGAAGCAGUAGGAACCAUCCCAAACACAGGAAAUUCCAUUCCAACAUUCCAAAAACCUAUUUUCACUGUGAGGGGAUCAGACAGGAGAACAGGUUGCCCAGAGGGGCAGUGAGAUUUGCAUCCUUGCAGAAUUCAGAGCCACGGUGGGCAGGGCAGGCUGCUCUGGCUGGCCCCAGUGGGCAGUGGGGGCUGGAUUAAAGUCCCUUCCAACCUCUGGAUCCUGGAUUUGUUUACCAAUGAAAAAUAGAGGCAGAGACAUUGAAACCUAUCAGGAUAUCUGUGGUAGAGCUGGAGUCUGUCACACUCCAGGAUAUUUCUUGAUUGAGAGAUAACCCUACUCAUUAUCACCGAUUUUUUCUUCAUUAUUACAGCAGAAAAUAACCGAACACGUGCUUUUUUAUUUCCCAGAUGGCCCAAAUCAUUUGAAUUUCAGUGUUUUACAGCAGGUACAAUGGGCCUUUUAUCAGGAGUGAGAAGUCUAUAUGCGAAAUAAAUAAGGAAUAAAAGCACACCACGUUUUUUUCCUCCAAAUAAUGGCACUGAACGUAAUUACCGCUGUGUGUGCCGGCCUUGCAGUCUGCCCAGCCGACCUUCACCGGGGCCACUCCGGCUCACUUCCCCCAUCUGCUGGGAGCACGCAGCUCAGCCAAGGGCGGAGGAUGCGUUCUCCAAACACACACGGGGUGUUUAUUUUUAUGGCCGUCUGCUUUGCUGCCUAAUCACAGCUCCGUUUCCUUCAAACCCAGCUGGAGUGACCUUAUGUGCGGGGCAGAGCAGCUUCUCCCAUUUUCAGUUCUCUGACAGCUGCCGGGCAGGGUUUUUGGGGAAAGAUGCAUUUCCAGCCCCAUGGAGCUGAACAAACCUUGCCUCUCUCUUCUCAGCGUCUUCCCCUAGUUAGGAAUGUCCAGGGGCUGUUUCUAAAUCUCACACUUUGCCCCAGUUUCUUCUCCAGAUUCGCCCCUUAAGAGGGGGAGGGAGCGGGGAGGUUUUUUCCUGCGCUUCAUGUCCCACACAAAGUUCAUCAUGCUCUGACUGUACCUGUAUUUCAAAGUGACAGCGCAGCCCACGCUCAGCGUGUUCAUCCUCCGAAUUCCCUGCGAGAAAAGGCAGUGCUGCAGCCCCUGCUCCACAGACCAGGGUCAUGUGGGAAAUCUGUGGCAGAAAAGUCACAAAAUUGGGGUUCCCAGCUCAGUACUGGGACCUCGGGACUGCACUUCCCCACUUGUGGAAGGAAAUAGUUUAUGCCAUAAAGUCCUAGCGUGGAAAGAGAAAAAAAAUGUACAAAUAAGGGCUCGACAUUAGGCUCUUCUCUUUUGUUUCCUUUUUUGAGCUACUUGGGAAAGCAGAGUAAAAAAUGAGUAAAAAUUAAGCGCUUUUGUGCAGAUUCAGGCUUGCAGAUUCAUUUUUAAGUCUGAAAUAGAAAUUGAUUUUCUCCUUUUUCUGAGUGCCCAAGGUGAGCUUUGUUAUUUAAAAAAUUUUGAAAUAUCUUUGAAAGUCUGCAUUCUUUUCUACGAGCCCCUUUUUUUCUUCCAGUAAGAUAAAAAGAGAGCAGCUCUGGCAUUUUAUAUUCUAAAUUUUGACUGACCAGAACAAAAUGUUUUCCCAGCAAUAUAGGUUUGCACCUAAGCCUUUUUUGUGCAUUGAGUUUGACCUUAGGAUGUAGAAUUUCAUAAAACAUUUAUUGUCUUCUCCAGUUUUUAGAGCACAAUUCCCCUGUGAUACUUUGUUUUCAUCGUCUGCUCUGAAAAGGAUUCCAAGCCUUCUCUUGCAGUUUGAAUUUUAAUUGUGGGUGAAGGAAAGAACCUCUGCUACCUGCAGCAAAAUUAGUCAGUGUCUCCCUAAACAAAAAGAGUUCUAACAGGUAAAGAGGAUUAGGAUCAGAACCAGGAGACGGCCAAGAGUAGGGAGAGUGGUUGUGGCAGAGAUAUUUUGUUCCAUAAAUGGAGGAUUUGCGUGUCCGUGUGUCCCACUCAUCUGUCCUGGCAGCAGCAGCGAUCCUUUCCCCUCAAAAAGUGCAGCUGGUAAAGACAAAAUGCAGUUAGCAAAUAAAGCAACCAAACCUGAGCUGUUUGAGGCCAGUGAGGCAGACAAAGGCAACUGCGAGGCAAAGAAAGAAAUGGGUUUUUCUCUGACUUCUCCUGUGUGCAGACCCCACUGAUGCCUCAGUCUGGAUGCUGCAGGUUUACCACUAAAUACUCUCCAAAGAUUAUAAUGCAUCAAUUAUCAAAGCCGUUCUAGAGGUACCACUUUACUUAUAUUGUUAACGAGCUUGGCUAUAAAGGGAUUUGCAGCCUGAAUUUCAUGACAGAGCCAAGGUAUAAUUUGCUCUGGGCUAUAAAGCCCAUGAAUUAUUAAGGAAAUUUACUUCCAUGGCUGCGUUUUCUUUCUGAGCACAAGUGCUCGUGCUGAGUGCAUGUGUGUGAGAGGAGAGACAGUGAUGGAGGCUCCAGCCUCGGCACUCCAUCUCCCCAGCACAGGCUCUUCCACACAGCCAGCAAAGAACAGCAGAAAAUAACUGACAAAAUGAGCAUUUGGAACAAAUGAGAGAAGAAAAAUUGCAUGCUGAACAGUGCCAAACUGAGGACCAAAUAUAAAUCACAAUUAAAAAUGCACUUUGGGUAAUUACAGAGAGGGGCUUUUCCCUUAGAGAUGUCACAAAGCUUGUGUGGAUAUAAUCAGACUUGAAUAGAUGUGGUGAUGGUGAAAACCAGCAGCCUGACAAAUCAGAAUUCUUAGAUCCUGCAUCAGGCCAAGCCUAUAACCUGCUGUGGGACCAACCUCCCCCUGGUGUUCUUUUAAAACCUGGGUUCUUCUGCAAGCGAGGCUUUGGAAUCACAAAUUCCAAAUCCAUGUCCUGCUUCCCCUCCUUCCACUCUGCACACCCAGCUAAUAACUCCUGAAUCCACUGACCAAUCCCAAGCAAAGUGACAGAGAACUGCAGGUUUCAAAAACGAGAAAUUCUAAAUGUUCCAUGAACCAGGAGCUGUGUAGAGAUGAGGGAUCUCUUCAGCCCUCCACUGCAAGAAGGAUUCCAGCAUGGGGUCACCCUUAGCAGGCUCUGGAGAAGGCCAUUCACAAGAAAGACCUUAAUAAUUCCCUGACUGUGAAGGUUACACAGCAAACUGAGCAGCUUUGGGUGUGCAGGGGGAGUCUGUGUUCCUGAGGGCUGAUGGGGCAGUAGUUGCUGCUGACAAUUUCUGAGUUAAUGAACCACCUAACAAGGCAAAACACAAGACUUUUCCUUAGGUGCUGGAAAGGGAACACCAGAUUAUGCCCUCGUUCCUAGGGAGUCAAGGCAUUUGGGGUUUUCCUGGGGUUUUGCCCCUCCUGUGGCCAAGCAGAGCGGAGCUGGCAGUCCCAGCCGAGGCACCAAGGGCAGGGCCGGGAAUCGGAGCCGCGGCCGCGGUUCCCGGUGCCCCUGCAGGCAGCCCGGUCCCCUCCCGAGCCGGUCCGUGCCGAUCCCUGCACGCAGGAGAAGGGAGGGACUGCCCUCUUGUGUCAGUCACGAUCCUUUCGUGACUCUCAGUUCCCGUCUCUGUGAGGGAGCGCUCAGCCAUUUCCCAACACAAAUUCCUUCUUCGGAAGGGCAGAGGCUUCGUUCUGAGUGCUGUGGAAAAGUUCAAUAAAUAAAAAUACAUCUGCUGUAUUUAUGACUUGGAGACAUCCAGGACUGGGCAUAUUUUGCCCUUCCAGACAGAGACAUCCAAGUUGUUACCCUGGCUUAUGCCCAGCCUCCAUCUUGACACAGAUAAGGAAAGCAGAGAGAAGAAUAAAACAGCAGAAAUAUAAUGAAGGAUGACAGAGAGGAGACACGAGAGAAGCAGAUUUGUUACACCAGUCAACCCUCAUAGUAAGUUACAAGCAAGUUAAAUAUAGAAGUGACCCUUCUCUGGGGAGCCAGACUCAUGGACAGCUCACACACGACUGCAGCAGCACCUCGGGCCUGUGGCUGGCAGAAAUCUUCAUUUUUAAAUCAUUAGUGCUCAUUUCCAGGGCACUUCUUGCAGUAAUGGUUGUCAGAGAAUAACAGUCUCCUAAAAGCUGUGCAGGCUUUUGUGCCCACCACUUCUACUGCCUGUUAAUGACAGACACCUAAAUUUAUGCUACAUUCACUAAUAGCACUGAGUGCUCAGGCUUUGGUUGCUGCUCUUACCCAGAGCAAUGAGCCAGCCUGGCAAUUGCUCUUGUUCUUAAGGCAGCCAGAUUAGCACCUUGCUAAAGGAGAUUCAGAGAAAAUCACUGCUCAGGAGAGGACAAAAUGUGGAGCAUUUGGAAUAUGGAGGGCCAAGGGGAAGAGCUGCCAUUAAAACCCUGCCUCUGGAGCCCAUAUUUUUGUCUGGCUGCUGUAAUCAGCUGCAGGCUCCCAGUUCUAAAAUGAUGCUCAGCAGUUAUCCCUCCAUCAGUUCUUCACGAAGAACCAUCCCUAAGAGUAAUUCCUUGGAACCUUUGCCCAGCCUGUACUGUGGUAUUUGUAUCUCUAACUUAUUCUGGAUGGCUCAGCACAAAUACGUUUUGUGUCACCCUGCUCAUUCCUGAGCUUGUCCAUGUUCUCAGCUGGAAAAAGCUGCCAGAAACCUGAGAUUUUUCUUUCCUGUGCUGCCUGAGAUCCUGACACCUGAGCACAUAACAAAAUAUAAAGGCAUCUCCGAAAUAUUUGAUGAAUAUUUCAAAUAUAUCAGUAAUCCCGAACCAUGUGUGCAAGUGUCUCUUUGGAAUUAAUGUGUACUUUAUCUGGAAAAAACAAACAGCAAAGAGAACCCACCCACAAGGCAACACAUCUUGCAAAUAGAAAUGAAAAGAUUUACAGAAUCUCAAAAACAAUCCCUUGGGGUCUCACCACCACCACCACAGAAGUGUCGUGUCUCAUCUCACUCCCUGUAAAAAACACAAAGCAUUUCCCCCCACACUUUCCUGUCCUGGCAUCUUCCUGCUCCUUGAGGAACGUGAGCCCCUGUGCAGCACUUUGUCCUCAGCAGUUUUCUGGGCACUUGAUGUUCUCAAAAGAAGAAAAAUUACAGAGGCUGUUCAGUGUUACUUGCUGUGAUUCCCCCUUCAACUCCAGUUUGGGAAAUUUCUGUUCUAAAACAACAACUUCCUGUUUGUACUGUUCUGAGUGUGUAUUCCCAAGGUGGCAAAAUCCUCCUGACCUUUUUUAUUGCUGGACACAAGGAACAAAUUUUUUAUCAGAAGAUGAACAUGCAUUCACGUCCCACUUUUACAGGCAUUUUUAAACUGCUGCCCUUUCACCUCAUUUCAUAUCCUUGAAGAAGCUUUACCAGGGGAUUACAGCAGUCACAGAAAACAUUUCUUGUGACAGAUCAUUACAAGGGCAUGAGAAGAAACAUCUUUCCAUCGUAAACCCAAAUUCUUAAAAAACUUAUAAAACUUAUAAACCCAAACUCUUCAUGUCUUCUUUAACUC